UCCGGUUUGGCACCGGCAGUCUCCCAUGAGUCCCCGGCAUCAUCCGCUGGCAACAUGGGACAGGGGUUGCGCUCGUUGCGCCACUUAAGGCAACACCUCACGGCACGAGCUGACGACGGCCAUGCAACACCUGUGCGGGCUCCCGAAGGAGGACCUGCUUUCGCAGGCUUCACCCCGCAUGUCAAGCCCUGGUAAGGUUCUUCGCGUCGCGUCGAAUUGAGCCACAUGCUCCGCCGCUUGUGCGGGCCCCCGUCAAUUCCUUUGAGUUUUAGCCUUGCGGCCGUACUCCCCAGGCGGGGUGCUUAAUGCGUUAGCUUCGGCACGGAACGGGUCGAUCCCCGCCCCACACCUAGCACCCAACGUUUACAGCUAGGACUAC
RNAcentral lists this unclassified non-coding RNA (379 nucleotides) under uncultured Actinomycetes bacterium. RNAcentral's name for it is "uncultured actinobacterium contains 16S-23S intergenic spacer region". The record is from RNAcentral. Lineage: Bacteria; Bacillati; Actinomycetota; Actinomycetes.